AGAGUUUGAUCCUGGCUCAGGAUGAAUGCUGGCUGUAUGGAUAAGUCAUGCAAGUCGAACGGUCCGCAAGGACAGUGGCAGACGAGGUAGUAACACGUUCGUACGUACUCCCAAGUCGGGCAUAGCCAACCGAAAGGUUGGGUAAUUCCCGAUAGUCCCUACGGGGUAAAGAUUUAUCGCUUGGGAAGCGGCGUGCGUAGUAUCAGCUUGUUGGUAAGGUAACGGCUUACCAAGGCUACGACGCUUAGGGGAGCUGAGAGGCUGACCCCCACCGAUGGGACUGAGACACGGCCCAUACUCCUACGGGGGGCUGCAGACGAGAAUACUCCGCAAUGGACGCAAGUCUGACGGGGCGAUACAGCGUGGUGGAUGAAGUGCUUCGGUACGUAAACACCUUUUAUGUGGGACGAAAUUAUUGACGGUACCACAUGAAUAAGGGGCUCCUAACUCUGUGCCAGCAGGAGCGGUAAUACAGAGGCCCCAAGCAUUAUCCGGAAUCACUGGGCUUGUAAUAGGAUUUGUCGUGCCUAAGGUCGGUCAUGUUAGUCGUAUCGUACAACUCGUGUGAAUACGGCUCGCGAGCGAAACGGAUGACCUAGUCGAGAGAGUGGCUGGAACUCACGGUGUAGGGGUGAAACUCCCUGAGUAUGGGGGGAAAACCAAAAGGGGCGAAGGCAGCGCUACGGUUCCAGAUCAUACGCUCAUACUACGAAGAGGUUGCGCAUAUUGUUUUAGUACCCCUUAGUUCCUGGCCCAUAACCUUGCUCGCCCUCUUGUGGGAGCCUCGACCUCUAUGGGAGUUUACCUCUACGCGGUAAGUGCCCCGCCUGUUUAGUACGAGCCAAAACUUUAAAUUUCAAACGAAUAGCCGGGGCUUCGCCCAAGGGGUUGUACCAAGGGGCUUAAAUUGGUGGUUAGGCGAAGAUUUUUCCCAGGGGUUAGAAGCCAAGCUCCGGGCCCCCAGAAACGGAGGAACCCUUGGAGGGGGCUUUGCAAGGUGAUGCAUGGUUGUGGUCAGUUCGUGGCUUGAGCUGUUCCUUAAAGGGGGGUAACGACCGCACCCCCCCUUUCUCUGUUCUUUAUCUCAGGCGAGAACUGCUCCCUCACGGGAGAGGAAGGUGGGGAUGACGCCAAAUCAGCAUGUCCCUUGAUGCCCUGGGCCGCACACGUGAUACAAUGGUCGGUACAGAAGUACGCAAUACCGCAAGGUGAAGCAAAUCCCAAAAACCGACCCCAGUACGGAUUGAGGUCUGCAACCGACCUCAUGAAGCCGGAAUCACUAGUAAUCGUAGGUCAGCCAUACUACGGUGAAUACGUUCUCGAGUCUUGUACUCACCGCCCGUCAACUCAAGGAAGUUGGAAGCGCCCGAUAUCUUGUCUUGUACAGGACUACGGCGAGUUCAAUGACAGGGAGUAAGUCGUAACAAGGUAACC
Molecule: ribosomal RNA, 1434 nt
Filed under: uncultured bacterium
Lineage: Bacteria
Description: partial 16S ribosomal RNA
Rfam family: Bacterial small subunit ribosomal RNA
Source: RNAcentral